AAAUAAAUUAGUCAUCUAUUUACAUUGUUAAAAAUUAACGUCGUUGACAAAAUAACCAGCAGUGACACAUGGCAUGUCACGCGUACCUCAUGUUAACGUAUAGAGACUAGUUUUUAACAGUAUAAAUGGAUGAAAAUUUUAACA
This is a non-coding RNA of Gossypium raimondii (Peruvian cotton), 144 nucleotides long. Lineage: Eukaryota; Viridiplantae; Streptophyta; Magnoliopsida; Malvales; Malvaceae. The record is from Rfam.